RNAcentral lists this ribosomal RNA (214 nucleotides) under uncultured bacterium. RNAcentral's name for it is "partial 16S ribosomal RNA". It matches the Rfam family "Bacterial small subunit ribosomal RNA", at positions 109 to 334 of the family's 1533-position model. The record is from RNAcentral.
AGUAUCGCGUAGGGAUUUAUCGUUGGGUGGGGGGAGUAACCGCGGGAAACUGCGGCUAAUACCGCAUGACGCCUGAGGGCCAAAGGUCGUGAGACUGCCUGAUGAGGAGCCUGCGUCCGAUUAGCUAGUAGGUUGGGUAAUGGCUGACCUAGGCUGUGAUCGGUAGCUGGUCUGAGAGGAUGAUCAGCCACACUGGGACUGAGACACGGCCCAG